This 1456-nucleotide unclassified non-coding RNA is filed under the name uncultured Neocallimastigales. RNAcentral describes it as "partial contains small subunit ribosomal RNA, internal transcribed spacer 1, 5.8S ribosomal RNA, internal transcribed spacer 2, and large subunit ribosomal RNA". The stretch from base 678 to 1456 matches the Rfam family "Eukaryotic large subunit ribosomal RNA", at positions 1 to 630 of the family's 3401-position model. Lineage: Eukaryota; Fungi; Neocallimastigomycota; Neocallimastigomycetes; Neocallimastigales. The record is from RNAcentral.
UAAAAGUCGUAACAAGGUUUCCGUAGGUGAACCUGCGGAAGGAUCAUUAAAAAAUUGGACUCCAUUGGUGAGUUCAUUAAUAAUCCCUACCCUUUGUGAAUUUGUUUGUUUGAAUAAUUUUUUUUCCAAAAAAAUUAUUGAAUGUCUUUCCUUGUUUUGGUGGAGCUUGUAAAGUGAAACCAGGCAGGGGAAUGGCAAACAAUAAUUAUUUUUGAAAAAGACCUUUUUUUAAAAUUAAACUUUUUGUAUUCAUUUGUCUAAAAUUAAUUUUUAUAAUAUAAAAACAACUUUUGACAAUGGAUCUCUUGGUUCUCGCAACGAUGAAGAACGCAGCAAAAUGCGAUAAGUAGUGUGAAUUGCAGAAUACGUGAAUCAUCGAAUCUUCGAACGCAUAUUGCACUUUUUUAGUUUACUAAAAAAGUAUGUCUGUUUGAGUAUCAGUAAAAUAUUCUCAUAAAAAACAUUGUUUUUUUUAUGGUUAUGAGUGUUUUACAACGAUAACAAGUUGUUUCACUUUAAAUUCUUUGUUAUCAAAAAAAUCAUUAAAAGCUAAUUUUAAAGAUUUUUUAAAAUUGGAUAAAAUUUUCCCGUAAAAAGGAAUAACCUAAACAAUUUUAAAAAAUUAAAAUUGGUUUGAUUUUUUUUGAAACCCAAAGGAAAAAAAAACGAAAUUAACUUGAUCUCAAAUCAGAUAAGAGUACCCGCUGAACUUGAGCAUAUCAAUAAGCGGAGGAAAAGAAACUAACUAGGAUUCCCUCAGUAACGGCGAGUGAAGCGGGAAGAGCUCAAAUUUGAAAUCUUCAAGGUUUUACCUUGACGAAUUGUAGUUUAAAGAAGUGUUUUCUGUUGGAGUUUUGGUAAAAGUUCUUUGGAAAAGGACAUCAUAGAGGGUGAGAAUCCCGUAUUUGACCAUUAUCUCCAGCUUUGUGAUACACUUUCAAAGAGUCGGAUUGUUUGGGAAUGCAGUCCAAAAUGGGUGGUAAAUUUCAUCUAAAGCUAAAUACUGGCGAGAGACCGAUAGCGAACAAGUACCGUGAGGGAAAGAUGAAAAGAACUUUGAAAAGAGAGUUAAACAGUACGUGAAAUUGUCAAAAGGGAAGCGUUUGACACCAGUGUUGUUUUCUCGAAAAUCAAUUAAAAAAGGCCGGAUUUUGUGUUGUAUUGACUUUAUCAGCUUUCUGCACUCUUUUCUUGUCUUUUUUAAUGCGCUUUUCGUUUAACAAGUCAACAUCAAUUUCUUUUGUUGUAAAAGGGUCAUUGGAAGGUGGCUUUCUUUCGGAGAAAGUGUUUAUAGCCUUUGGCCUCUGCAAUCGGAGAGAUUGAGGUCUGCAGCGUAGAUCCUUCGGGGUUAGAUACAUUUGUGCUAAGUUAUAGCCUUUCAUAGACAACUUGUUGACUAUGAUCAGUCCUGUAGCUUACUCGCUUAUGCUAUUUUACCUACGCUUAGGAUGUUGAG